AUUGAACGCUGGCGGCAUGCUUUACACAUGCAAGUCGAACGGCAGCGCGGGCUUCGGCCUGGCGGCGAGUGGCGAACGGGUGAGUAAUGCAUCGGAACGUGCCCAGUAGUGGGGGAUAGCCCGGCGAAAGCCGGAUUAAUACCGCAUACGACCUGAGGGUGAAAGCGGGGGACCGAAAGGCCUCGCGCUAUUUGAGGGGCCGAUGUCGGAUUAGCUAGUUGGUGGGGUAAAGGCUUACCAAGGCGACGAUCCGUAGCUGGUCUGAGAGGACGACCAGCCACACUGGGACUGAGACACGGCCCAGACUCCUACGGGAGGCAGCAGUGGGGAAUUUUGGACAAUGGGGGCAACCCUGAUCCAGCCAUGCCGCGUGCGGGAAGAAGGCCUUCGGGUUGUAAACCGCUUUUGUUCGGGAAGAAAUCCUCUGGGCUAAUACCCCGGGGGGAUGACGGUACCGGAAGAAUAAGCACCGGCUAACUACGUG
Molecule: ribosomal RNA, 484 nt
Filed under: uncultured bacterium
Lineage: Bacteria
Description: partial 16S ribosomal RNA
Rfam family: Bacterial small subunit ribosomal RNA
Source: RNAcentral